Molecule: signal recognition particle RNA, 82 nt
Filed under: uncultured Blautia sp.
Lineage: Bacteria; Bacillati; Bacillota; Clostridia; Lachnospirales; Lachnospiraceae
Description: Bacterial small signal recognition particle RNA
Rfam family: Bacterial small signal recognition particle RNA (bases 1-70)
About the family: The signal recognition particle (SRP) is a universally conserved ribonucleoprotein involved in the co-translational targeting of proteins to membranes. Archaeal SRP consists of a 7S RNA and homologues of the eukaryotic SRP19 and SRP54 proteins.
Source: RNAcentral
CGCAACAGGAAUCCGUGAACCGUGUCAGGGCAGGAAUGCAGCAGCACUAAGCGGAACCUUCUGUGUGCCGUGAGGGUGCCUG